RNAcentral lists this ribosomal RNA (489 nucleotides) under uncultured bacterium. RNAcentral's name for it is "partial 16S ribosomal RNA". It matches the Rfam family "Bacterial small subunit ribosomal RNA", at positions 28 to 523 of the family's 1533-position model. The record is from RNAcentral.
GACGAACGCUGGCGGCGUGCUUAACACAUGCAAGUCGAGCGGAAAGGCCCUUUCGGGGGUACUCGAGCGGCGAACGGGUGAGUAACACGUGAGUAAUAUGCCCUUGGCCUUGGGAUAACCACCGGAAACGGUGGCUAAUACCGGAUAUGACGCGCCCCGGCCUCGGGGUGUGUGGAAAGUUUUUUCGGCCAGGGAUGUGCUCGCGGCCUAUCAGUUUGUUGGUGGGGUAAUGGCCUACCAAGGCUUCGACGGGUAGCCGGCCUGAGAGGGUGACCGGACACACUGGGACUGGGACACGGCCCAGACUCCUACGGGGGGCAGCAGUGGGGAAUAUUGGACAAUGGGCGGAAGCCUGAUCCAGCAACGCCGCGUGAGGGAUGACGGCCUUCGGGUUGUAAACCUCUUUCAGUACCGACGAAGCGCCUAUGAUGGUGGUGACGGUAGGUACAGAAGAAGCACCGGCCAACUACGUGCCAGCAGCCGCCGUAA